GAGAACAGCAUAUCAGACAAACCUUAUGGAGGUGGAAUUUAUCUUGACACAUCAGUUUUGACAGUAGAUUAUAGAGCAUUUGUAGAAAUUGUAUUCGAGAACAAUGAAAACAUCGUCCAGAGCUGGCAUCUUAAUGGUUACAGUUUCUUUGUUGUUGGUAUGGAUGGAGGACAGUGGACAACAAAUAGCAGGAACCAAUACAAUCUCCGUGAUGCAGUUGCACGAUGCACCACACAAGUAUAUCCCAAGUCAUGGACUGCUAUUUAUGUUCCACAUGCCUACGUUGUCAAGUAGGUCAGAAUUCUGGGCUCGUCAAUACCUCGGCCAGCAGCUAUAUUUGAGAGUUUACACAACAUCAACUUCACUUAGAGAUGAAUUUCCCAUUCCAAAGAAUGCACUUCUUUGUGGUAAAGCAAGUGGUCGGAGCACGCGACCUCUCUAAGCUAGCGAGACACUGUUCACUGUUUAUCAUUUAAGGCAGAGAAGCCUGGCCUGACAUCUGGCUAGCUCUGGAGAAAUGAAUGAAGAGAAAAGUUUUUGAGUCCUGUUUUCUUGUUGGC
Molecule: unclassified non-coding RNA, 560 nt
Filed under: Hevea brasiliensis (rubber tree)
Lineage: Eukaryota; Viridiplantae; Streptophyta; Magnoliopsida; Malpighiales; Euphorbiaceae
Source: RNAcentral